ACAAGGAGAGGAGAACCCUCGCAGCCCCUCGCUCGGGGUGAAACUCCAACAUGGCUUCCGCUUUCGCCGCUCCUCCCCCUCCCCUUACUCCGGCUCCUCCAACCUCCUCCCCUUUUCCCGACUCCCGCCCGACUGCGCAGCCGCGAUCCCGGAGGGAGCGCGCCAGGCCUGGCGCGCACCCGACCCCUUGCGCGUUCCGGCUCCGCGCGCCUGCCAGGCCGGGGCCGGCGGCGGAACAGCUUGGGACCCGAAACGCCUCGGCUUUUCUGCGGACCCGCGCCCGGCCGCUGCCGCCGGACGCUUGAAAAGAGGCAGAGUCUUGCUUUGUUGUCCAGGCUGGUCUUGAACUUCUGAGCUCAAGUGAUCCUCCCGCCUUGGCCUCCCAAAGUGCUGAGACUACAGAGAGAGAAUGCUAACGAGCUGUGAAAUGACCAAAGAUCUGGCAGCAGAAGGGAAAAGAAAAAAUAAUGGGAAGAAGAGGAUUUAUCUGACUCAACUGGAGAUGGCUCCCUUCCCUUAUUUAUUGUUGCAUCCUGAAGCUUCCCCCAUGCUGGGCUCAGUGUGAACAAACAGCGCGGGAGAAUGCAACCACUGCAGAGGCAUAUGUUUGAGAUACCUGGCCACUGGAGGUCAUCUCGUCUACUAUAUUCACCGCAGAUAAAGAAUGAAAAGAGAAUACACAACCUUGUGAUUGCUAGCAGUGAAAGCUCAGAGUUAUGACAUAACAAGUGGUUGAUCAUACUGUAAAACUCAAAUGUGAAGGGAAGGCUGGAACCUACUGGAAACUGAAGAUCUAACGAAAAGAAGGAACUUUUAGGAACUAGCAGAGACUUCAAAAUGUUGAGAACUCUCUUUUUUCAUAAGAGAAGAUAAAAACUCUGAUGGUCACACUCAUAAAGACAAAAAACAAAUAAAAAACAAACAAAAACUCAGAAUCACAAGAGCAAAGAAAAUGUAGGUAAAACAAUAACAGAAGAGGUAAAGAAAUUUAUGUGAAUUGGGACACUCUGGGGCACAGAACAGAAGAGGAGAAGAAACAUGAAAGUAAUGCUCUGCACAAGGAUGUCUGACUGUCCUUGAUUCCAAGGGCAUUUAAAAUUAGCCACUGGAUGAGAACCAUGAAAUGCCAUGACUCUUACAGCUCCCAUGAAAGACAUUGGAUGGAACUUAUCCUAACUGGACCAAAUUCUAAAAAAUUUUACAUGAUAUUAUAAUGAGUUGAAAGUUGAAAAAAAAAAGCUCUUCUAGAUUACCAAGAAUAAAACACAAAUUUCUAGCUGACUGAAUUAAUUCUCAUCUCUCUAUAGAAAGAUCAUAGAAAUUUUUUUUAUCAUGCAAAGAAAUAGCUAAAAAUUUACAAAAAUAUAGACGUGCAUUAGGCAGCUCAUGAAUAAAUGCGUUUUUUCCUUUUUUCCUCCAGAAUUUUGUGAUGUUUAUGGUACUUUUCGGCUUUUAAAAUUUUGUAUUUAAUCAGGAUUUAUUACUUCAUUGUAAGUAAAUAUUAAAUUUGUACUCCAUCUUUGUUUGUAAUUUUGUAUAUUUUUCAGUAAAAAGGACUCCCCAGAUUAUGUAAGCUUUAGGCCCCACAAAAUCUAGGCCUGUUGCUGUAUCCUUUCUAGAGCAGUGUUUCUCAAACUUCAAUGUGCAUUUGAAUCUCCUGGGGCUCCUGUUAAAAUAUAGCUUCUGAGAUGAUGCAUUUCUAACAGACUCCCAGGGCUGACACUGCCCAUCUGGGGACCACACUUUGAGAAUCAAAUAUCUAGAACAAUGGUUCUUACCUGGCUGUGCAUUGGGAUCAUUUAUAGUGCUUUUGGAAAAUACAUUGUGUCCAGGUCCCACCCAGUUCUCAGUAGGCUUGGAAUGGGGUCCUACACUUUUUUUUUUUAACUCCACAGUUUGGGAAAGAAGCCUUUUCAUAUAUUGUUGGUGGGAAUACAAAUUGAUACAGCCAUUUUUGAGCUUGAUUUGGCAAUAUCUUCCUUGGAGAAAUCAAAAGCCAGUUGGCAAGCCAGUCUGGAAAAGGCAGUUUACUGAUUCCCACCCGAGGGUCACAAAGCAGGUAUAGAAGGAUGGGCUUUGGCUGAAAUAUAUGAUGGGUACAGGUAUAUUCUCUAUAAUCCAGUAUUUCCACUGCUGAAAACGUAUCCUAGUAACAUUAUACAUAUCAAGCCUACAUAUAAAGUUGGUCAAUUCCAUAUUAUUUGUAGUAGGGGAAAACUGAAAGCAGUCUACAUGCCCAUCAAUAGAUUAUUCAAAUUAUGGAACAGUUUUCCAAUGACAAAACAAUAGCUAAUCUUAGUUAAGCAAUUAUUAUGUUAUGUAAGGUAGACAUUGUUCUACCUUAUUUAUAAGUAUUAAGUUAGUUUUUAUAACUAUCAUAUUUCCAUUUUACAAAUGACAUAAUUUAUAUUAUUGACAUGGGAAGAUGUCCAAGGAUAUAAUAAGCAAAAAGCAAGUAGCAAAACAUUAUGUAUAUUAUGCAUUACCAUUAUAAUAUACUAAAAAGUAAUGCACUUGAUUCUGAUGCACACUCCCCAGUAGGUAACAACUUAUCUAGUGUAAAAAUGAAAGAACAUUCUGGGCCGGGCACGGUGGCUCAUGCCUGUAAUCCCAGCACUUUGGGAGGCCCAGGUGGGCGGAUCACAAGGUCAGGAGAUCGAGACCAUCCUGGCUAACAUGGUGAAACCCCGUCUCUACUAAAAAUACAAAAAAAAAAUUAGCUGGGCGUGGUGGCCGGCGCCUGUAGUCGCAGCUACUCGGGAGGCUGAGGCAGGAGAAUGGCGUGAACCCGGGAGGCGGAGCUUUCAGUGAGCGGAGAUAGCGCCAUUGCACUCCAGCCUGGGCGACAGAGCGAGACUCUGCCUCAACAACAACAACAACAACAACAAAAAAAAAAAAAAAAAAAAAAAAAGAACAUUCUGUUACCUCAAACACGCUGUUUUCAUGCAAUUUAGUUAACUGGUAGCACUUUCAGAAGAAGACAAAGUAAAAAUGGUUAGGUCAAUUUGGUGGCAUAGAGUAUUCUAUCGAUCAGUGGUCAAAAGAGUAGUCAUUCUGAGUGAUCUCUAACAUUAGGGUUGAUGGAAGAGAUGACCCAUAGAUGUCCCUACAUCUCAUUUCUCUUAGGACACACACUUGGGAGAAAUCGUCCAGUGCACUUUGUCCAGGCCUUUUACUUGUACCAACUACUUUGCUUUAUGCUGUUUUCACUUUAGUGGUUCUGCCUUCUAGUCCACAGAAAAGUUUUUUCUUAACGUAUUUUUUUCCCAACACUUUAUUAUGGGAAUUUUCAAACAUACAGAAAAGAUAAAAGAAAUUUACAGAGAAUACUCGUGUCUCUAUCAGCUAGAUUCUACAGUUAACAUUUUACUAUAGUAGUUUUAUUGCAUAUCUGUUUAUCUCCCUGUGCAUCCAUGGAUCCAAUUCAUCUUUAGGAUGCAUUUCAAAGCAAGUUGCUGACGUCAGUACACUUCCCUCUCAAUACUUUAGUAUGUGGAUCAAUAACCCUAGCUUAAGAUUUGUUGAUUGUUUUUCUUUCCUUUUGAAGUAAAAUUUACACACAAGGAAAUGCACACAUCUUAAGUGGACCAUUUGAUGAGUUUUGAGUAAUGCCCACAUUGUGUAACUCAAACGUCUAUCAAGAAAGAACAUUACCAUACCUGAGAGUAUCCUCAUGCUCCUCCCCUGGGGUACUCCCUGCCUCUCCACACCAAUCCCCCCAGGUAACAACUGUUCUGAUAUCCCCCUCACCAUAUAUACCUGCUCUAGAACAUCAUAUAAAUGGAAUGAUACAAUAUGUCUUUUGUAUAAGCUUUAUUCCACUCAGCAUAAUGUUUUUGCCAUUCACCCAUAUUAUUGAUCAUAUUAGUACCUUGCUCCUUCUUAUUACUGAGUAGUAUUAGAUAGUAUAAACAUAGCGUAGUCUAUUUUCCUAUUUUGAUGGAUAUGUGGGCUUGUUCUGAUUUUUGCUUAUUAUGAAUAAAACUUCUG
This 3990-nucleotide long non-coding RNA is filed under the name Homo sapiens (human). RNAcentral describes it as "MAP4K3 divergent transcript". Lineage: Eukaryota; Metazoa; Chordata; Mammalia; Primates; Hominidae. The record is from RNAcentral.